AACGCACAUUGCGCCCCGUGGUAUUCCGCGGGGCAUGCCUGUUCGAGCGUCAUUUCAACCCUCAAGCUCUGCUUGGUAUUGGGCCGUACCGGUAACGGUAAGCCCUAAAAUCAGUGGCGGUGCCGUCUGGUACUAAGCGUAGUAAUUCUUCUCGCUAUAGUUUCCCGGUGGUAUCUGGCCAGGAACCCCCAAUUUUCUAUGGUUGACCUCGGAUCAGGUAGGGAUACCCGCUGAACUUAA
RNAcentral lists this unclassified non-coding RNA (240 nucleotides) under Micarea sp. Its description in RNAcentral is "partial contains 5.8S ribosomal RNA, internal transcribed spacer 2, and large subunit ribosomal RNA". The stretch from base 1 to 52 matches the Rfam family "5.8S ribosomal RNA", at positions 103 to 154 of the family's 154-position model. RNAcentral also lists the same sequence under 1 other name. The record is from RNAcentral. Lineage: Eukaryota; Fungi; Ascomycota; Lecanoromycetes; Lecanorales; Micareaceae.